Danio rerio (zebrafish) is the source of this 117-nucleotide ribosomal RNA. NCBI's taxonomy places the organism in Eukaryota, Metazoa, Chordata, Actinopteri, Cypriniformes, Danionidae. The record is from Ensembl.
UGCCACAGACAUAUCACGCUGCAGUCCAAGACAGGUUACUCACCGAAGCUCAGCAGGGCUGAGCCUGGUCAGUACCUGGAUGGGAGACCACAUGGGAAAACUAGGUUGCUGUGGGGG